AAUAUGCGAUAAUGUCGUAUGAAUUGCAGAAUCAAGCGUAUUAUCAAACCUUUGAACGCAUAAUGCGGGCCGGGUCUUAACUCGAGCCCGUUUACGGUUCAGUGCCGAUAACUGUGUUGGGGACAUAUUGUAGGCCCUUAAACACUUGUGGGUUGCAAAACCUAUCUUCUCAUUUUUCAAGGCCUGAGCUGUAAUCGACCACCCGCUGAACUUAA
This 215-nucleotide unclassified non-coding RNA is filed under the name uncultured fungus. Its description in RNAcentral is "sequence contains ITS1". The stretch from base 1 to 107 matches the Rfam family "5.8S ribosomal RNA", at positions 50 to 154 of the family's 154-position model. The record is from RNAcentral. Lineage: Eukaryota; Fungi.